GUGUAUAUGGUGUAAUAAACACGUUAGCUUUUCAUGCUAGAAUUAUAUCCUAUAUUAUACACA
This 63-nucleotide transfer RNA is filed under the name Eisenia tracta. RNAcentral's name for it is "tRNA-Glu". Lineage: Eukaryota; Metazoa; Annelida; Clitellata; Crassiclitellata; Lumbricidae. The record is from RNAcentral.